This 471-nucleotide ribosomal RNA is filed under the name uncultured bacterium. RNAcentral's name for it is "bacterial SSU rRNA". It matches the Rfam family "Bacterial small subunit ribosomal RNA", at positions 328 to 793 of the family's 1533-position model. The record is from RNAcentral.
GGGCCAGACUCCUACGGGAGGCAGCAGUGGGGAAUCUUCCGCAAUGGGCGAAAGCCUGACGGAGCAACGCCGCGUGAUCGAAUGAAGGCCUUCGGGUUGUAAAGCUCUGUUGACAGGGACGAAUAAGCAAUGCGAAUAGUUUUGUGUAUGACGGUACCUGUUUAGAAAGCUCCGGCUAACUACGUGCCAGCAGCCGCGGUAAUACGUAGGGAGCAAGCGUUGUCCGGAUUUAUUGGGUUUAAAGGGUGCGUGGGCGGAUCGUUAGAGCAGUGGACAAAUUGGGGGGCUCAACCCCUUCCCGCCAUUGAAACUGGCGAUCUUGAGUGGAAGAGAAGUAUGCGGAAUGCGUGGUGUGGCGGUGAAAUGCAUAGAUAUCACGCAGAACCCCGAUUGCGAAGGCAGCAUGCCGGCUUCCGACUGACGCUGAAGCACGAGAGCGUGGGGAUCGAACAGGAUUAGAUACCCGUGUAC